This 466-nucleotide ribosomal RNA is filed under the name uncultured bacterium. Its description in RNAcentral is "bacterial SSU rRNA". It matches the Rfam family "Bacterial small subunit ribosomal RNA", at positions 35 to 507 of the family's 1533-position model. The record is from RNAcentral.
GGNUUAACGGCUGGCGGCGUGCAUAACACAUUCAAGUCGAACGGACAUUCGAGGGGCUUGCUCCUUGGAUGUUAGUGGCGGACGGGUGAGUAACGCGUGAGCAACCUGCCUUUGUGGGGAUAACGACCGGAAACGGUCGCUAAUACCGCAUAACCAGAUAGUAUCGCAUGGUACAGUCUGCAAAGAUUUAUUGCAAAAGGAUGGGCUCGCGUCCGAUUAGAUAGUUGGUGAGGUAACGGCUCACCAAGUCGACGAUCGGUAGCCGGACUGAGAGGUUGAACGGCCACAUUGGAACUGAGAUACGGUCCAGACUCCUACGGGAGGCAGCAGUGGGGAAUAUUGGGCAAUGGGCGAAAGCCUGACCCAGCGACGCCGCGUGAGGGAAGACGGUCUUCGGAUUGUAAACCUCUGUCCUUGGUGAAGAAACAUGACGGUAGCCAUGGAGGAAGCCACGGCUAACUACGUG